Non-coding RNA from Parelaphostrongylus tenuis, 73 nucleotides. NCBI's taxonomy places the organism in Eukaryota, Metazoa, Nematoda, Chromadorea, Rhabditida, Metastrongylidae. The record is from the annotation of a GenBank genome assembly.
GCUGCGGUGGCGUAGUGGUAGAGCACGCGUCCCCGGAUAGGAUGAGACGCAGGUUCGAUUUUCGCCUGAGGCC